Molecule: non-coding RNA, 97 nt
Organism: Notechis scutatus (mainland tiger snake)
Lineage: Eukaryota; Metazoa; Chordata; Lepidosauria; Squamata; Elapidae
Source: RefSeq, a predicted model, not a curated record
UCUUCUGGAGGUCUUCUUCUCCUGCUGGGACUCCUCACCCUCUGGGCGGAGCUGACCCCCGUCUCCAGCCUGGACCGUCCAAAGUUUUGGUGAACUG